This is a long non-coding RNA of Coturnix japonica (Japanese quail), 938 nucleotides long. NCBI's taxonomy places the organism in Eukaryota, Metazoa, Chordata, Aves, Galliformes, Phasianidae. The record is from Ensembl.
UGAGUGCUGUUUAGUUGAAGUUAAGGGGUAGAAACACUUCCGUAACUACCCCGUGCAGAUUUAGAGUUGGUCACUGCUCAAGACGUACAACUUAAGCUCCAUGAAGUUUCUGACCAGUGUACAGAAAUAUAAAUGUAUGAGUGAAUAUAGAGCAUUUUCUUCCAUUUCUACUUUAAUUUGUCUGACAAAAGUCUCUCAAAGGCUGCAUCUCCCAGCAUGGUGAUCUCAAAGGAAAAUACUCAAGGGGAAUUUGGGGACCAGAGAUUUAAUGGUUGCAGUUUUAUAAUCUUUAUCAGAGCACUGAGUCUGUAAUAGGAAGAUGGGAGUAAUUGCCUCCAAGAUUUCUGUCACCUCAAUCAACCUUCGAGGGAAAAUCAUCGCAAGAGAGCCUCUGGAGGACUAAGCCUGGUUUUGAGUGUCUUAACCAAAAAACCUAAAGUGAGCUAUUUUACUGUGACAUCUAUAUGGAGCCUUCUUCCUUCUCUGUGUCAGCAUCCUUUGAAGAAUGAUACUCAUGUCACUCUAGCAUUCAGAAGCAGAAAGUUUUCAGUGACUCAGUGUCACUUCUGCCUAGUCUACCUUAAAGCUUCAUUUCCUGGUGUCUGAGCUACUUCAUCGGUAUCACAGCAGCACUGGACAAAUCAGCUGUAGUGGCUGAUGAUGGCUACCUUUUGCCUUUAGACUCCAUAUAUUUGCUGGCAGAUGGAGUGAGUCAUCGUUCAGCUGAAGAAAAGGCUGAACCUGAAUUAACAAUUCAGCUCUGCUCCAGCCUGAGACAGACUGUGAUAGAAAAGAGGUCCCUGGAUAGCUGAAAACAUGUCUGUAUUUCUAGUAUAUAAACUUUAUUAGUUUCUUUACAAUAGUUUGGCUAUCAGCUGGUAUGUAAAAGCCUGCUAGUAGGCAAGUAGAGAGAAAUAAUGACAAUUAGUGUAUGUGGU